GGCUCGGCGUUGGCCUCCGCGGCCCGUGCGAGUGCGCCCUUCUCGGGUCCCCUAGGUCGCGGGGCAGCCGGGGCGGAAGGGGCUUGUUCAUUAUUUUGAGAGUUUGUUGUGAACGUCAUAACCUUUCGUCCUUAAAUAUUGCCGAUACUUGACCUACGCAAGAGACAAUGUCAUGUGAUUCAGCCUAAUAUCUCAACUGCUGUGAUUGCACCUGCCAUCUUAUGCAGAAAUGACCUGAAGACAGACUGAAACAACGUGUUCUACAGCCUGAAAAUAUCUACCUUGACUUACAGUUUUAUUAAUGCUGGUGUGAUCAGACUGGACAAAAAUUAGCAUAUGUUAUUAACUGAUCUAAUUCAAGUGCCAAUUCUUAAUAGAAACACAAAACAAUAAAAGCAAUUCAGAAAAU
This 409-nucleotide long non-coding RNA is filed under the name Homo sapiens (human). Its description in RNAcentral is "HSALNT0313457". The record is from RNAcentral. Lineage: Eukaryota; Metazoa; Chordata; Mammalia; Primates; Hominidae.